AGUCUAUUUAGUAUUUGUUUUAUUGAGGAGAAAAAAAACAGACAAGAACGCAUAUUGUGUUGCGCCUGCGCUGUGACGUUCUUUUUUCAACCGCAUUUCCAGUCGAGAGGUCAAGAAUGCUCCUGUCUGCAUCAGGUAAGAAUUUAAAUAAAAAAUUACCGUUAUAAUAUGAUAUCUAUUUUUCAUUUAGUGUAAUAAACUUUAGCAUUAAUUGUGCAGGAGACUGUUCAUUUAAACUUUAUUGUGGUAACGUUAAAUGCUCGCUCGUUUUGCAAAGUUACGUUUGGAGAUUCAUGUUAACAGUCAUUGUUUAAUGAAAGGCACAUUGGACUACGGGUUAGUAUGUGUGACACUUGCAGCACUUUAACGUAAAUCUUUAACACCGUGUCAUAAAUAGACGUGACACGCGGUAACGGGUUUCUUUUCAGUUUAUGUCCUGACGUUAAUAGGACGGGAUAUUAUAAAUUAUGCCUUUCGGUUAUCGCGACGCCUCGUCGCGUUUGGUUAAGCACAUGUUGGAUCAGUAUGCACGUCACUGUACCUACUGUACACCUGUGAGCGGCAUGACGAGACAAAAGACGCUAUCCAUCUGAAAAAGAAAAGCUGGCACUCGCAAAGGAGAUUGUGUUGUUGGAUUAUGGUCUCAUUUGGUCAAAAUGAGGGACAUGUACUACUACAGAACAUCAGACGGAAGCUUCAAUGGAGUUGACGUGAGAGGACAUCAUCAAUAAAGAAUGCCAUUGACCAAACCUUCAGUCAUCAACGGAGAUGGAUACAGGUGGACAUCAAGUUUUCCAGACUUACCGAUAGGAAAGAAGACAUGUUUAUCAGGAAAUGGGAGGUGACAACUAUUGAGAAACUCAGGAAAAUAGCAUCUUUAGAGAAGAAAAUGGACAUCAGACAUUCAUUGAAGAAAGCUGACAGUCAACAUAAUGAUCUUCUGCUGUGUGAAUUCUGUGUGAAGUCUAAGCGGUAAGCUGGUGGCGGCUGGUACCAGCGUGACCUCUUUGCUUACUAAAUCAUGAAAAGGUGUCUAAAAUCAGCUCAGCCACAGUUGGUUUCCAGCGGUUCUUCAGGACAUAGAGGCCACUAUGUAAUUGUCGCAAUGAAUGAUUCUCUUGCCUUUCCACUUGAUGUUUACAAUCUGACCUGUGCGGUAGAAAGACUUUUCAAAUUUACUAGCUAAGUAACCUUAAGUAUCCCUGCCAACUGUCUUCAGGUUUUUUUUUGGUAUGAAUAUGAUCUACCCUUGUCCCAGUCCUCUUGCAAACGAUCCAAGCCAAUGGAGUUUCAAAAUGGACCGAAAAUUGCAGUCUGUUUUAACCAAUGCAUGCACUGUGUGGCGGUUUCCCGGACAGGGAUUAGACUAGUCCUAGACUAAAACAUUUUUAAGAGCUGUCCAAACUGAAAACAACUUGCACUGACAUAUCUUAAAAUACACCAGUGCCCUUUGUUUUGCCUCAAAAUGCACACAGGUAAUGUUUUUAGUAAGGCAUGUUUGUUAAAACCAGAUAUAUUUCCUAAUUAAUCUAAGGCCUAGUCCUGGAUUAAGAUAAUCCCUGUCCGGGAAACCACCCCUAAAUAUUUUGUGAUGGAAAUUUCUUUGAAUACACUUGUCAAGUUCAUUUGAAGUAUUUUUCUUAAUGUAAAAUAACGUGUUAAUGUUUCAGGACAAGGUAAGAAUUGUUGAUAACUUGUAUGUUGAAAACGAUUUCAGACAUUGUUUCAACAUGUUUAACACAUGUGCUUUUAAAUUCAAUGAAUUAUUUUAUAAAUGGUGUUUUUUUAUGUAUGAAUGUAAUGUAUGUUUGAAGUGAUUAUACUUGCACUUAAAUUUAUUUAAAUUAGCAUACAUCUUGCAGCAUAAAGUACUAGCAUAUUUUCAUGCUAGCAUUAAUUGUCAAAUAUUUAUUAUUAUACAAAUAAAUGUUGUGAACAAUA
Non-coding RNA from Misgurnus anguillicaudatus (oriental weatherfish), 1941 nucleotides. Lineage: Eukaryota; Metazoa; Chordata; Actinopteri; Cypriniformes; Cobitidae. The record is from RefSeq and is a predicted model, not a curated record.